RNAcentral lists this ribosomal RNA (346 nucleotides) under uncultured eukaryote. RNAcentral's name for it is "bacterial SSU rRNA". It matches the Rfam family "Eukaryotic small subunit ribosomal RNA", at positions 592 to 939 of the family's 1831-position model. The record is from RNAcentral.
CAAUAGCGUAUAUUAAAGUUGUUGCGGUUAAAAGCUCGUAGUUGGAUUUCUGCCGAGGACGACCGGUCCGCCCUCUGGGUGAGCAUCUGGCUCGGCCUGGGCAUCUUCGUUGGAGAACGUAUCUGCACUUGACUGUGUGGUGCGGUAUUCAGGACUUUUACUUUUGAGGAAAUUAGAGUGUUUCAGCAGGCAUACGCCUUGAAUACAUUAGCAUGGAAUAAUAAGAUAGGACUUCGGAACUAUUUUGUUGGUUUGCGUUACGAAGUAAUGAUUAAUAGGGACAGUUGGGGGUGAUUCGUAUUGCAUUUGUCAGAGGGUGAAAAUUCUUGGAUUUCUGCAAGACGAA